AUACAGACCCACGUCAUAUUGGGCCUAAACAGGCUAAAUAUAUGUAGUUCCAUGUAUUGAGGCUGAGCCCGUGAAGAAUGAUUACACUUCGUUCUGAGCUUGAGCUUGUCUCUACUGGAGAUGGAAGCCUACAGAUACAGCCGAGAGAGACGCAAUUUUUGUGCAGUUAAGAGAUAGAGACGAGAGAGGUAUACGAAGAAAAGCUAAGGAGCGGUAAUCUGUGCCACGACCCUACCAUAAACCCAGGUCUCGGCUCCCCAUGCUGCCUCGCUGUCCUCUUAAACCCUAACCGCGAAAGGGAAGAAUGGACCAUCACUCCCGUCUUGCACGAUGCUACUGCUGUGGUCAAUUUCUUCUCUUCUCGGUAUCGGUGCAAUGCUUGGUGCAGUUCAUGGUUUAAAUACGACUUCCUCUAUUGCUGCUAUUUUCUGGUGCCAGCGCUGGCAUUUGGAGAUAAGGUGUAGAUGGAAGAGUUUGGUUAAGACUAAGUGAUUAAGUUGAUAACUUUGGAUAGAACUAAGUGACUAAGAUGACAUUCUUCAUCUUAUGUUGGGAUUUAUAUUUUGGAUGAAUGUAAAAUAAUUUAAGUUUAUCUAAAGUUAUUUUGAUCUUUUGUAAA
Juglans regia (Persian walnut) is the source of this 619-nucleotide long non-coding RNA. RefSeq lists it as uncharacterized. The transcript has 4 exons. NCBI's taxonomy places the organism in Eukaryota, Viridiplantae, Streptophyta, Magnoliopsida, Fagales, Juglandaceae. The record is from RefSeq and is a predicted model, not a curated record.